AUACUUACCUGGCAGGGGAGACACCAUCAUCAUGAAGGUGGUUUUCCCAGGGCGAAGCUUAUCCAUUGCACUGCGCGGAUGUGCUGACCCUGGUGAUUUCCCCAAAUGUNNNN
Molecule: small nuclear RNA, 113 nt
Filed under: Sorex araneus (European shrew)
Lineage: Eukaryota; Metazoa; Chordata; Mammalia; Eulipotyphla; Soricidae
Description: U1 spliceosomal RNA (ENSSARG00000019196.1)
Rfam family: U1 spliceosomal RNA
About the family: U1 is a small nuclear RNA (snRNA) component of the spliceosome (involved in pre-mRNA splicing). Its 5' end forms complementary base pairs with the 5' splice junction, thus defining the 5' donor site of an intron.
Source: RNAcentral